CAGCAGCCGCGGGAAUACGAAGGGUGCAAGCGUUAAUCGGAAUUACUGGGCGUAAAGCGUGUGUAGGUGGUUGUUUAAGUCUGUCGUGAAAGCCCUGGGCUCAACCUGGGAAUUGCGAUGGAUACUGGGCGACUAGAGUGCGGUAGAGGAUAGUGGAAUUUCCGGUGUAGCAGUGAAAUGCGUAGAGAUCGGAAGGAACAUCUGUGGCGAAGGCGACUAUCUGGGCCAACACUGACACUGAGACACGAAAGCGUGGGGAGCAAACAGGAUUAGAUACCCGUGUAGUCCCUGUCUCUUAUAA
This 301-nucleotide ribosomal RNA is filed under the name uncultured bacterium. RNAcentral's name for it is "partial 16S ribosomal RNA". It matches the Rfam family "Bacterial small subunit ribosomal RNA", at positions 509 to 809 of the family's 1533-position model. The record is from RNAcentral.